Aethalodelphis obliquidens (Pacific white-sided dolphin) is the source of this 2997-nucleotide long non-coding RNA. RefSeq lists it as uncharacterized. NCBI's taxonomy places the organism in Eukaryota, Metazoa, Chordata, Mammalia, Artiodactyla, Delphinidae. The record is from RefSeq and is a predicted model, not a curated record. The transcript is spliced from 10 exons.
AUGUCCCCUGCAUCGGCAGGUGGACUUUCAACCACUGUGCCACCAGGGAAGCCCUUAAAUGUUUUAAUAUUUUAUCAAUUUAUUUUUUCUGCUGUUUCAUUUCUGAAGUGCCAUUGUGUUUGAAACUUACCAGAACAAACAUACAGUACUUCAGGCGACUGAAGGUUCAUCUGCCUUACUGAGUCCUUGGAGCCCUUAGCCGCACUUAGAGCAUCGUUGCUGUGGGGACAGAGAGUGCAACAAACAACUUACAAUGAACUUUUUAAAGUUCUGUUUGUAAAUUGAAGGUUUCCUGUAUGGAUAACUAUGUUCCCUUUUUUUAUUCUGUAGUUCAAAUAUUUUAAUCAGAUUAAAGUGGAGGAGUUUUCACAGUAUGUUGUCAGAUGUAACCCUGACAAUUAACUGGCAACAGUUAAUGAUUAGUGACAGCCACCAGCACCUAUGAAAGCGUCUAUCGUAAACCACCGUGCUGUGCAAGCAUGUUGUUUACGUCAUUUGGCUUCAUCUCUUGACAACCCUGAGUUCAGUUUUUAUCUGAUCAGCCCAUUUUAAACAGAAGGAACCCAAUGCCGGGCAACGGUUGACUGAGGUCACACAGCUGGAAGCAGGGACCAUGGAAUCGCCACCCACAGCUGUCCACCCAGACCACUGGACUGAUUAUGCUCCAGCAUCCUGCUGAGGCAAAGGAUGGGCCCAAAUUCUUCGUGGAACAGAAGCCUGGGACUGGCCUGGCACACGGAUUGCAAAGCUGGAAAUGCUGCAACACAAUGUCCUGCAAAGAAGAUCAGACUUCCGCCUUGAUAGGCAGACAGCUCUGAUGGAAGCCCCUCAAUCACAACCUAUGUUCCUUGGGCCCAUAAUUAAGAAACUUAGAAAGACUCUUGAAACCAGCUGGAAAAGUAUGCUGUCUUGCCGGCAGAGUUUCAAACAGGCUGAUGAUUACCAUGGGUCAGCCUUGGCGUCCACGAGCCCUCAUCACAGUUGAUUAUAUGAAACGUACUUUUUGCCAGCCUCGUCAAAAGGAAAUACAGUAAGAUUCGGUGGGUCGAUCUCAUUUUCUCGAGUGCAGACAAGGCUUCACAGUGAUCUGAGACUCAACUUUGUUCUCCCCAGAAGGAGCAGCAGAGUCUGUACGACCCCUCUGGCACAGCUGAGCCAGUGUUUCUGGAAUCACUAACUGAGAACAUUUUCCUCCCCGUGAACUGCCAGAAGUUUCUUGGGUUUAUUCAAGCUAAUCUGUAUUCCAGAACAAUUCCGGACGAGAUUUGUUAGGAAUACUUCAACAAGGUGCUGUUUGGAAAACACUGCAUGGAGAAAUGGGGUGGCAGGGAAAAGCGUCUCACUCUGAAUCACUCGGGCCUGGGCCGGUCCUAAGCCAGAUUGCAGCAGAUGCCUUUUUGGUAGCUCAAGAAGAUGCUUGCCUUGUUAAGCCCUGCCCAGCUGUGCCACCUCCUGCUUUCCUAUCGCAGGGGAAGGACUACUGAGUGUCUAAUGUCUUAUUUGGGUUCCCCCAGCAGUGAACCCUAAGGUAAGUUCCAGGGAGGCAACAGCAGCCUGGGAAGGAGGAGAGAAUUCAACUCCUAAGCACCCCGCAGGACAGAAGUUUGAGGACAGCACAGAUGGUUUGGCCAGGCCCGUGGACUGUGGAGAAAUGAGCACUCGGGGACAGCCAGGAGGCAGAGGCAAGCGGAGAUCACGAUGUCAGCCUGCAGGGAGAAGGAUAUUUGCCCUGCUUCUGGGUGAAGGCAGAAGAGAGAAGGCAGCGGCUGAACGUGUUAAGUCAGAGGCCCGGUUGAUAGUGGAAGAUGGCUGGACACCAGCUGAUGGUGUGCACUCGUUAUCAGGGCUUCAGCUCUUGGGGCCAGUUCCGAUGGGCGUGCAGGACGCCCCGUGGGGCCGGAAACAAGGGGAGCAGCUGCAUGCGAUUUAGAAGCUUCACUACCCAGCUCUACCCAACCUAAGCUUCCUGAACUUGAUCAUCAUAUCCUGAUUAUGGAAGGGGAGGUUCCUGUUCCUAGGGGACACAGGUGACCUCUCGAGGGAUCAAGUGCCGUGACCCUGCACGUGUCCCCAGAAGUCGAGGGCGGCUUCCUGGGAAGAUGCUGACAGAGGACGUUGUUAACAGGAACAAAGCAUCACCGAUUCAGCGAAGGCCUCCUGUGUACCCGUUCCAGUCCUUCCCCCCCGCCCCCGCCCCUCCUGACCGUCUCCCGCCAUCAAUUUGGUGUUUCUCCUUCACGUCCCCAGGUUGUUUGUGAAAUGCCUCUACAAGUGGAUGUCUGUGGUCUGGCCCAUUCGAUCUGCCUGUAAUACACCCCAUGGAUUUCAGCCUGGCUCCUGUUAAGGGACGUCUACGUCUUUCCUCCAGACAAGCGGUGCUGCCAUUGCCGUUCUCACCCACGGCUGCUUGAGCCUCCGAGACGGUGGCCCAGAGGGCUGACGGCUUUCUGGGACACGCUCUCCUCAAGGCCAAAACUGGAGCGCAAGAGGCCAAGCCAAACCACGGAAGCUCACGUAAAGACCCUGCUCCCGUGCGGUGUGGACUGUCUGCUUGUAGAGUCCAUUGGACAGAGAAGUCCUGAGUUGCUGGCGGAGCCUGCUCCACCCGCAGUGACAUACUGGUGGGAGCAGGAGGGCGAGGAGAAUGGUGCGCAGGCCAAGCCGCCCUCCACGGGUGCAGACCUUCUGCUGCCGUGCCCCUCCUCCCACACGCGUGCGUAUGCACAUGCACACGCAUACACUCAGCCACAGCCUGUCCUCACCCUUCCUCCACUGUUCCCUCCUGCCCACUCCCCCCCGCCCCCAGUUCUUUCCAGAGCUGAAUUGGGUUGGGGAGUGACCAGGUGCCUGGUGCACUGAUAAAUAAGAAAGCAAAGGCAUCACCAGGAAGUAACGUAUUAGGAUUUUCAACAGCCAAGACGUGGAAGCAGUGUAAAUGCCCAUCAACAGAGGAAUGGAUAAAGAAGCUGUGGUACAUAUAUACAAUGGAGUAUUUCU